UGGGGAUUAUUGGGCAAUGGGCGAAAGCCUGACCCAGCAACGCCGCGUGAGUGAUGAAGUCCUUCGGGUUGUAAAACUCUUUGGACAGGGACGAAGAAAGUGACGGUACCUGUAGAACAAGCCACGGCUAACUACGUGCCAGCAGCCGCGGUAAUACGUAGGUGGCAAGCGGUGUCCGGAAUUAUUGGGCAUAAAGCGCGCGCAGGUGGUUUAGAAAGUCUGAUGUGAAAGCCCACGGCUCAACCGUGGAGGGUCAUUGGAAACUAAUAAACUUGAGUUCAGGAGAGAAAAGUGGCAUUCCUAGUGUUGCGGUGACAUGCGUAAGGAUUAGGAGGAACACCGGUGGCGAAAGCAACUUUCUGGCCAUACUCUGACGCUGAGGUACGAAAGCGUGUGUAGCAAACAGG
Molecule: ribosomal RNA, 407 nt
Filed under: Verrucomicrobiota bacterium
Lineage: Bacteria; Pseudomonadati; Verrucomicrobiota
Description: Verrucomicrobia bacterium partial 16S ribosomal RNA
Rfam family: Bacterial small subunit ribosomal RNA
Source: RNAcentral